AGCAGCAGCCGCGGUAAUGCGAAGGGUGCAAGCGUUAAUCGGAAUUACUGGGCGUAAAGCGUGCGUAGGCGGUGAGUUAAGUCUGCUGUGAAAUCCCCGGGCUCAACCUGGGAAUGGCAGUGGAUACUGGCUCGCUAGAGUGUGUCAGAGGAUGGUGGAAUUCCCGGUGUAGCGGUGAAAUGCGUAGAGAUCGGGAGGAACAUCAGUGGCGAAGGCGGCCAUCUGGGACAACACUGACGCUGAGGCACGAAAGCGUGGGGAGCAAACAGGAUUAGAUACCCGCGUAGUCCCUGUCUCUUAUAU
Molecule: ribosomal RNA, 303 nt
Filed under: uncultured bacterium
Lineage: Bacteria
Description: partial 16S ribosomal RNA
Rfam family: Bacterial small subunit ribosomal RNA
Source: RNAcentral